Molecule: RNA transcript, 987 nt
Organism: Solanum stenotomum
Lineage: Eukaryota; Viridiplantae; Streptophyta; Magnoliopsida; Solanales; Solanaceae
Gene name: pre-rRNA-processing protein ESF2-like
Exons: 7
Source: RefSeq, a predicted model, not a curated record
UGACGGACAAAUUCCACUAUAGCACAAGUUUUAUUUGUUACACACAACUGGUUUUCUCCUUUUCGUUAGAUGGGUGAGAAAGAUUUGGAAAUUGAGGAAACAAGUCCACCACGUAGAGGAGAUGAAACUAAAACACAAGUAGGAAAAGUUAAAAAGAAGAAGAAGGUGAAGGCGGAGAAGCGUGGAGUUUGUCACGUAAGUAGAGUACCGCCUCGUAUGGACCACGUGAAACUUCGCCAGGUUCUUUCACAGUUUGGAGAAAUUCAGAGAAUAUAUCUUGUACCUGAAGCUGUUGCUGCUCAAAUGAAUCGGAAACGGGCAGGUGGAUUCCGAGGACAAGCAUUUUCAGAAGGGUGGGUUGAGUUUACAAAAAAGAGUGUUGCCAAAAGAGUCGCAAAUAUGUUGAAUGGUCAACAGAUGGGUGGAAGAAAAAGGUCAUCAUUCUAUUAUGACAUUUGGAAUGUCAAGUACUUGUCUAAAAUCAAAUGGGAUGAUGUUACUGAUGAAAUCGCACAAAGGCAUGCAGUUCGUGAGCAGAAACUAGCUUUGGAGCUUUCUGCUGCUAAGAGGGAGCGUGAUUUCUACCUUACACAAGUUGAUAAAUCUCGUGCUUUAAGUUCUAUUGAAGAACGAAUGAAGAAGAAGCAAAAGGUGCAACAGGAAUCUGGGGUAAUUUCUGAUUUCCCAAGUGAUCAGUUUGCACCAAAGGUGAUACGACAAUUUCCCCAGAAAAAACCUGUGGCAGAUCAAGCUGGGAAACUCAAGCCUAGUCUGUCUAAGGACGUUUUGGCCGGAGUAUUUGGUGGUCAAUGACAAGGGCGUACGAGUGCAAACAUUUCAGAAAUUGUGCUUGCCAGUUUUUUCAACCACAUUUGAUUUUGUUGCCUUCAAAAACAUCUCUGACUGUUAUUAGAUGUUAAAGUUAUAAGUAAACCUCAAUCAAAAUUUUUAUCUUUAUUUGCAGUUGAUUGUAGAUGUCAUAUUAAA